AGUGUGGUGGCCGAGUGGUUAAGGCGUUGGACUCAAGUUCCAAUGGACAUUAGUCCUCAUGGGUUCAAAUCCCACCGCACUA
Molecule: transfer RNA, 82 nt
Filed under: Saccoglossus kowalevskii
Lineage: Eukaryota; Metazoa; Hemichordata; Enteropneusta; Harrimaniidae
Description: tRNA-Leu
Rfam family: tRNA
About the family: Transfer RNA (tRNA) molecules are approximately 80 nucleotides in length. Their secondary structure includes four short double-helical elements and three loops (D, anti-codon, and T loops).
Source: RNAcentral